RNAcentral lists this long non-coding RNA (1676 nucleotides) under Linum usitatissimum (flax). RNAcentral's name for it is "long non-coding RNA (LUSI_LNC007536)". The record is from RNAcentral. Lineage: Eukaryota; Viridiplantae; Streptophyta; Magnoliopsida; Malpighiales; Linaceae.
ACAAAUGGGCUGCAGCAAGUACCGGAACUUAAUCUUCAGCAUACCUUUAAUCUCUUCCAUCCACUCCAAUCAUCAGGUACCCCACAAUCUGGUAAUUCAAGAAUUACAACAUUCUUCAAGUUGAAAUCAGAGGGGAAACCACGGCAACGAGACAGCCUAAGCCAUCGGACAUUAGGAAGCAUUUCACUGAAGUCCCCAGGCAGCACAGUAACGUUCACGUCAAGGUACCUUAACCUUGACAACUUCUCAAAAUGUUUGCUCACAAUGUCAUGUCCCCAUGGCAUCCUAACCCUAAGCAUUUCGACUCGAUCAGUUGCCUGUCAAAUGAUGAAUUAAAUGCAUUCAGAAUCGACUCGUUCACAUCCAAAUGCAAAUCAUAGUACAUAAUUUUACUAUUGUCUGUAAAUGACAUGAAACUUUUAAGUACAUACCUCCCCAUUUGUCAGCAUGUUCAUGACAUCCAUGCUAGACCAUAUCCUGCUGCGCUUGGAUGGACAUUCAAUAUCUUCCUUGGUAACGAUGGCUCUACCAAGAUCUCUGAGAUGAUCGUGCAUCCAGAACUGAUUGAUUUCAUCAAUUUUUAUCAAGGAUCUAAGAACAAGAGUCCUAAUCCCACUUUCUGGAUAAAAUUUACAAUCGCUCCACAUAUGGACGGGCGAUUCUUUAUCCUCUCCGAUGAAAAAGCAGGCAAUGUCGAGAAAGAUUUGUUUUUCCUCAUAGGUCAACUCAUUAUAGCUAAUCUUCAAGCUCUGCUGCACCUUAUCAAUAGUAGUCAAACCCUCUCUCCACUCAACGACAAGGCAGGUUAGAGAUGAUGGGAGGAAACCAUCUGGAUUUAGCAACAGGCUACCUCGGGAAAUGCAAUUGCCCACCGUCAAAGUCUUCAACUUAGUUAGCUGCCAUACAUCCGCGGGAAUUUCAGGAACCCCCCAGCAAUUCUCAAAGCAUAGGUCCUCCAGGUGUUUAAGCUCCAGAAGAUUGGGGACCCAAGGGGACGAUAUGGUUAGGCGUUUUAAGCUUGUAGGGAGCAUAGGUACUUCUUCGCCUCGCCAGGCCACUUUCCCUGUUUUAAUCUCUUCAAGUUUUAGAAGCUUUCCCAUGUCACCUGUUAAUGAUAUUUCAGUUUGCUGAAGCCUGACCACUUUCAGAUUCCUAAAAUUACUGAUGUUGAGCUCCCCCUUCACUUCUUCACAAUCAGUCAGAUCUACCGACUCUAGGCUCACACAUUGGGAAAGGUCCGGCACUCUUUCGAACUCAUAACAGCCACGUAGGUUUAUAACUUUCAGCUUGUUUGCCACCUGCAUCAACAGAAACACAAUCAAUUUAAUCAAUCAGGUUCGGAUAGGAGUCCAGGUACACAAAUGGGCUGCAGCAAGUACCGGAACUUAAUCUUCAGCAUACCUUUAAUCUCUUCCAUCCACUCCAAUCAUCAGGUACCCCACAAUCUGGUAAUUCAAGAAUUACAACAUUCUUCAAGUUGAAAUCAGAGGGGAAACCACGGCAACGAGACAGCCUAAGCCAUCGGACAUUAGGAAGCAUUUCACUGAAGUCCCCAGGCAGCACAGUAACGUUCACGUCAAGGUACCUUAACCUUGACAACUUCUCAAAAUGUUUGCUCACAAUGUCAUGUCCCCAUGGCAUCCUAACCCUAAGCAUUUCGACUCGAUCAGUUGCCU